UACACGCCGGCAGCGCGCACAGCAGUCGGGGCAGCUCAUGAAAGCGGCACCUUGAAGGAUACGCCUGCAGCGCGCGCCCCAGUCCACAAUGCAUAUCAAGUGCUGAAUUAGAAAAAAUAAAGUGAAUUGCAACACGAGGAGUUCGCAUUGGCUGAAAAGCUGACUGAAUACGCAGGAGCGUCUGGAGGAAGCAGGCAUCACAGCACAACGCCUAUGAUGUGUUAUAUCGAAUGCGAAAUCAAAGGCGCGUCAUCUCAUUGUGCCGCCCUGCGUUGCGAGGCAUCAGGCGAGUCGGUUGAUGACUGUAAGAGGGAGAGCUUUUAACACCGGAGUGUGCAAACUACGGCUCAUGGGACAGUCUGCCACAUACAUGGAUUGUUUGCUGAAGAAGAACCAUCUCUGGAUUAACCAUUUCUUCAAAAGGGCUGACUAAAAUGCUGAGCACGGCAACACUUCCAUAAAGGGACAUGGAUGUCAUGUCCUCUCCAUUGUUUAAAAGAAAACUAUCUGCAGAAAUAACCUGAAAGCAUUUUUUGCGCCAAAUGCUGAAAACUGAAAUAUGCGUACAGUUUUUAACAGUACAUUAUCUAAUUAGCCUCUUCACCUAAAUGAUUAUGGUUGUAGCCAUUAAGGUAGUACUACAAAUCUUUGUAAUUUUUUUUGUUAUUUAUUAUGUUCCGUCAAGGCACAUCUGAAAGCAGAGCCUAAGUACAAGCUGAGGUCAAAGCACACCAGGAGAAAUAAAGCUAUCCAAAGCCAAAAAAAAAAACAUCAAUAAACUUUAAGUUGGAAAACUAAUAUUGGUCAAAUCCCAUAUUUAUUCCAAAAAGUUUGUUUUAUUUAUUAGGUGUUUAAGUUCAAAAUCAACAUUAUUUUGUUCCAUUUUCUAUACAGUUUAAAAUGUGACAUGCUCCAUAUUUUCCUCACAAAGACACCCCAAAAAUGCACCUUGAUGUCCUUUACUGAGUUAUCUGAACAGUAUAACUCACUACACAGAAAGCUUCCCCAUUACUUAGCACCCACCUUUUUCUGUUUCUUUGAUAGAUGAGGGUGAAGAUAGGAAGACUUCAAGCGCUUUAGAACUUUGAGUAUUGUUUCUAUUUCUAACAUAUCUAUACGAAUGUCAUCAUAUUUGGCAAAGUAAGCAUUGUACUACCUGGGCAACCUCAACUUGUGUUUCAUGACUCAAUUCAAUGUCUACUUGCAACAAGAAAUGAGUCUGGUGAUUUAUGUGUUUUUUUAAACUGGAGAUCUUUAUUUAAGCAGAGACUGACAGAUGCAGAAGUAACACAGGAAAGCACUUCCAGGCAGCACUAUAUACCUUUCUUCCUGUGUCAAUGGGACACAUUUGAUGAACUGAAGCUGUAAGUUUGACCACAAAUUCAACUUUGCAUCAAUUGUUUCACUCACUGUUAUUGCCUAUUGAGUAUUUUCCUUUAUGCUCAUUAUUUUACCAUUUCUUUCUCAUUUUUAAGUAUUCUGUUUUAUUCUGUUUCUUGUUUUUUCCAUCUUUAUGUGAAGCCCAAGGAUGUGAGUCUUUAUGUAUAAGCAUCUAGAAGGCCCCAAGCCAACCUCUGGAGCAAUGAGUUUCUCUGUGUCUGUGGCUCCCCUUUUUUAUUUUCUUUUGGAUUUAUUUAGUUAAAGGAUAAGUUUUGCAUUUUUCUAGUCAAAGUUAU
Polypterus senegalus (gray bichir) is the source of this 1676-nucleotide long non-coding RNA. RefSeq lists it as uncharacterized. NCBI's taxonomy places the organism in Eukaryota, Metazoa, Chordata, Cladistia, Polypteriformes, Polypteridae. The record is from RefSeq and is a predicted model, not a curated record. The transcript has 3 exons.